UUAAUUGAAGCCAAGGAGGAGGCACCUUAAUGUUAAUGAGGAAAAUGAUUUUAUAAUCCAAUUAAA
RNAcentral lists this transfer RNA (66 nucleotides) under Nesophrosyne sp. 242 GMB-2012. Its description in RNAcentral is "tRNA-Asn". Lineage: Eukaryota; Metazoa; Arthropoda; Insecta; Hemiptera; Cicadellidae. The record is from RNAcentral.